GGCAGGCUCUGCCUUACUCUAUCCAAAUUGGAAAGCAAGAUCUGUUGUAUGGAACUACUGAAAACUGAACAACCGAUACCGAGAACACCGCCACGCAGCAGACUGGCCUCGGUCGGCUCUGCCUCAAUGUACCGAAACUGCUGAGCAAUUUACCAUUUGUAAGAAUGAAAACCUGUCAUCGAGAAACCUUGAGAGACAACGAGAUGGAACUCCCUUACUACUUGGUAAAUGUUCCUAUUGGGACUCCUGUUUGUGCCUCGGAGCCAAAUAUCCGGUGUGUGAGGGUGGGGGAGGCUCGGGAGGCCUGGCAGAGAAGAGCAGCUGCAGAGCCCAGGCCUAGAGGGGUCCCGACCACGGAAUUGCUGCAGCCUUGGUCAAUGCCCUGCUUACUGCCCCUGGGACAGGUCUCCUCAGGUGAUGAGUGUAUUUCCCUCGAGGAAGCACUUCCCAGCCUGGCUCAGGGCUCUGUGGGUGGGCUCACCCUGGCAAAGGGAUUCUAGCAGAGUGCAGUGGGAGCCUGGCAGCUGGGCUCCUGCCUUCAGUCCUGACAGCCCGAAGCCAGAGGCUGUGCUGGGAGAGGAGGAACCCCCGCGAGGACCUUCUCAGCUUGUGCUGCAGCAGCCCCCUCCCCUCUUGCCCCCCCUCCCCCCGAUCUGGGAUCCCAAGCAGGGCGCCCCACAGCAGGAAGCCCAGACCCCUGUCCCAGAGCAUACUGGCCAGAGAGGUCAGCCUGCUUGCUGCCCACAGUUAGUGGAGGCGAUGCCCAGUUUUCUCUGCUCUCCUGGAAUGGCUUCACUGCCCAGUCUCAUCUCCUUCCCACCUGGCUGCCUGCCCUGCAGUCCUGGACCCCAGGGAGCCUUAGAGAACAGAGACUCCCUGGGGCUCCUGCUCCCUGCAAAUCCUGCUUGCUUACUCAAUGCCUUCAAUUUCAAAAUAAAAACUCACUGAGAACUGCA
Molecule: long non-coding RNA, 956 nt
Organism: Grammomys surdaster
Lineage: Eukaryota; Metazoa; Chordata; Mammalia; Rodentia; Muridae
Exons: 2
Source: RefSeq, a predicted model, not a curated record